GACGAACGCUGGCGGCGUGCUUAACACAUGCAAGUCGAACGGAAAGGCCCUGCUUUUUUGGGGUUCUCGAGUGGCGAAUGGGUGAGUAACACGUGAGUAACCUGCCCUUGACUUUGGGAUAACUUCAGGAAACUGGGGCUAAUACCGGAUAGGAGCUCCUGCUGCAUGGUGGGGGUUGGAAAGUUUCGGCGGUUGGGGAUGGACUCGCGGCUUAUCAGCUUGUUGGUGGGGUAGUGGCUUACCAAGGCUUGGACGGGUAGCCGGCCUGAGAGGGUGACCGGGCACCAGGGGCCUACGAUACGGCCCAGAGUGCAACGGGAGGCAGUAGUGGGGAAUAUUGCACAAUGGGCGGAAGCCUGAUGCAGCAACCCCGCGUGCGGGAUGACGGCCUUCGGGUUGUAAACCGCUUUCGCCUGUGACGAAGCGGGAGUGACGGUAAUGGGUAAAGAAGCACCGGCUAACUACGUG
RNAcentral lists this ribosomal RNA (468 nucleotides) under uncultured bacterium. RNAcentral describes it as "partial 16S ribosomal RNA". It matches the Rfam family "Bacterial small subunit ribosomal RNA", at positions 28 to 507 of the family's 1533-position model. The record is from RNAcentral.